RNAcentral lists this ribosomal RNA (262 nucleotides) under uncultured archaeon. RNAcentral describes it as "partial 16S ribosomal RNA". It matches the Rfam family "Archaeal small subunit ribosomal RNA", at positions 748 to 1009 of the family's 1478-position model. The record is from RNAcentral.
CAGCCGUAAACUAUGCUCGCUAGGUGUCAGGCAUGGCGCGACCGUGUCUGGUGCCGCAGGGAAGCCGUGAAGCGAGCCACCUGGGAAGUACGGCCGCAAGGCUGAAACUUAAAGGAAUUGGCGGGGGGAGCACCACAACGGGUGGAGCCUGCGGUUUAAUUGGACUCAACGCCGGGAAGCUCACCGGAUAAGACAGCGGAAUGAUUGCCGGGCUGAAGACCUUGCCUGAAUCGCUGAGAGGUGGUGCAUGGCGUAGACGUCU